Molecule: ribosomal RNA, 637 nt
Filed under: Lactobacillus gasseri
Lineage: Bacteria; Bacillati; Bacillota; Bacilli; Lactobacillales; Lactobacillaceae
Description: bacterial SSU rRNA
Rfam family: Bacterial small subunit ribosomal RNA
Source: RNAcentral
GCCGCGUGAGUGAAGAAGGGUUUCGGCUCGUAAAGCUCUGUUGGUAGUGAAGAAAGAUAGAGGUAGUAACUGGCCUUUAUUUGACGGUAAUUACUUAGAAAGUCACGGCUAACUACGUGCCAGCAGCCGCGGUAAUACGUAGGUGGCAAGCGUUGUCCGGAUUUAUUGGGCGUAAAGCGAGUGCAGGCGGUUCAAUAAGUCUGAUGUGAAAGCCUUCGGCUCAACCGGAGAAUUGCAUCAGAAACUGUUGAACUUGAGUGCAGAAGAGGAGAGUGGAACUCCAUGUGUAGCGGUGGAAUGCGUAGAUAUAUGGAAGAACACCAGUGGCGAAGGCGGCUCUCUGGUCUGCAACUGACGCUGAGGCUCGAAAGCAUGGGUAGCGAACAGGAUUAGAUACCCUGGUAGUCCAUGCCGUAAACGAUGAGUGCUAAGUGUUGGGAGGUUUCCGCCUCUCAGUGCUGCAGCUAACGCAUUAAGCACUCCGCCUGGGGAGUACGACCGCAAGGUUGAAACUCAAAGGAAUUGACGGGGGCCCGCACAAGCGGUGGAGCAUGUGGUUUAAUUCGAAGCAACGCGAAGAACCUGACCAGGUCUUGACAUCCAGUGCAAACCUAAGAGAUUAGGUGUUCCCUUCGGG